UGCGGGGUAGAGCAGUCUGGUAGCUCGUCGGGCUCAUAACCCGGAAGUCAGUGGUUCAAAUCCACUUCCCGCAU
This 74-nucleotide transfer RNA is filed under the name Deltaproteobacteria bacterium. Its description in RNAcentral is "tRNA-Met". It matches the Rfam family "tRNA". From Rfam's summary of the family: Transfer RNA (tRNA) molecules are approximately 80 nucleotides in length. Their secondary structure includes four short double-helical elements and three loops (D, anti-codon, and T loops). The record is from RNAcentral. Lineage: Bacteria; Pseudomonadati; Myxococcota; Myxococcia.